GACGAACGCUGGCGGCGUGCCUAAUACAUGCAAGUAGAACGCACAGUUUAUACCGUAGCUUGCUACACCAUAGACUGUGAGUUGCGAACGGGUGAGUAACGCGUAGGUAACCUGCCUGGUAGCGGGGGAUAACUAUUGGAAACGAUAGCUAAUACCGCAUAAUAUUAAUUAUUGCAUGAUAAUUAAUUGAAAGGUGCAAUUGCACCACUACCAGAUGGACCUGCGUUGUAUUAGCUAGUAGGUGAGGUAACGGCUCACCUAGGCGACGAUACAUAGCCGACCGGAGAGGGUGAUCGGCCACACUGGGACUGAGACACGGCCCAGACUCCUACGGGAGGGAGCAGUAGGGAAUCUUCGGCAAUGGACGAAAGUCUGACCGAGCAACGCCGCGUGAGUGAAGAAGGUUGUCGGAUCGUAAAGCUCUGUUGUAAGAGAAGAACGGGUGUGAGAGUGGAAAGUUCACACUGUGACGGUAGCUUACCAGAAAGGGACGGCUAACUACGUG
RNAcentral lists this ribosomal RNA (505 nucleotides) under uncultured bacterium. RNAcentral describes it as "partial 16S ribosomal RNA". It matches the Rfam family "Bacterial small subunit ribosomal RNA", at positions 28 to 507 of the family's 1533-position model. The record is from RNAcentral.